Molecule: non-coding RNA, 51 nt
Submitted as: unclassified sequences
Source: Rfam
GUUCCAUAAGGGUUAGUAUUACCCUUAUGGAACAGUAUGUAGCAAGUAGCA